AUCAGUGACACAUGUAGAGCAGUGUUUCAAUGGUAACAAUCAGUGACACCUGCUGACCAGUGGCAACUUAAUGACACAAAAAAGAGGAAAAUGUGACCGAUGAUU
This is a long non-coding RNA of Etheostoma cragini (Arkansas darter), 105 nucleotides long. RefSeq lists it as uncharacterized. The transcript has 3 exons. The record is from RefSeq and is a predicted model, not a curated record. Lineage: Eukaryota; Metazoa; Chordata; Actinopteri; Perciformes; Percidae.